Molecule: ribosomal RNA, 200 nt
Filed under: uncultured prokaryote
Description: partial 16S ribosomal RNA
Rfam family: Bacterial small subunit ribosomal RNA
Source: RNAcentral
CGUCAAAUCAUCAUGCCCUUUAUGACCGGGGCUACACACGUACUACAAUGGCGUUUAACAAUGAGCAGCAAACCCGCGAGGGGGAGCGAAUCUCCAAAAGGCGCCUCAGUUCAGAUUGCAGGCUGCAACUCGCCUGCAUGAAGUUGGAAUUGCUAGUAAUCGCAGGUCAGCAUACUGCGGUGAAUACGUUCCCGGGUCUU